RNAcentral lists this ribosomal RNA (110 nucleotides) under Ophiocordyceps sinensis. Its description in RNAcentral is "partial 28S rRNA". It matches the Rfam family "Eukaryotic large subunit ribosomal RNA", at positions 1 to 108 of the family's 3401-position model. The record is from RNAcentral. Lineage: Eukaryota; Fungi; Ascomycota; Sordariomycetes; Hypocreales; Ophiocordycipitaceae.
GUUGACCUCGGAUCAGGUAGGGAUACCCGCUGAACUUAAGCAUAUCAAUAAGCGGAGGAAAAGAAACCAACAGGGAUUGCCCCAGUAACGGCGAGUGAAGCGGCAACAGC